RNAcentral lists this transfer RNA (71 nucleotides) under human gut metagenome. It matches the Rfam family "tRNA". From Rfam's summary of the family: Transfer RNA (tRNA) molecules are approximately 80 nucleotides in length. RNAcentral also lists the same sequence under 1 other name. The record is from RNAcentral.
GCCUGUAGCUCAGUCGGUUAGAGCACUUGCUUGAUAAGCAAGGGGUCACAGGUUCAAGUCCUGUCAGGCCC